Molecule: long non-coding RNA, 2456 nt
Organism: Vulpes vulpes (red fox)
Lineage: Eukaryota; Metazoa; Chordata; Mammalia; Carnivora; Canidae
Source: Ensembl
GGCAGAGACCCCCGCCCCGCAUCCCUCAGAACCGCUCCCCAAGCAGCCCUGGGGGAAAGGGCGCGGACCUGAGAGCCCCGGGAAGGCCGCUGAAGUCAGGAGACGCGGGGAUCCCACACGGUCAUGGUCUCUGGCCAACAUACCAGGUGCUGGGGUAUCCGAAUCCUGGACGACCCAGCCAGCCCCGGGAAGGAGACGUUGGUUGCUGCGUUCGCAGGAAGGAAGUGUUGCUUCCAGCCUGAGCCUGAACACGGAGACCUCGGAAAGGCUUCUUCUCCAUAGAAACACUGGCUGAAAAUCGACCAGCAGAGGCCUCACCUUGGGGAGGUGAAAGUCCACCUGUCCCACCUCCGUGAUGGCUCCUGGGGCGGCUGUCGUUGGUGGCGUGUGCCAUAGAGUGCAGAAUCCGCUCUCCGGGGCCCAAGCCCCACUCAGUGGACGUGGUCGCUGCCCAGGCAGAGUUCCCAGCCCCACAUUUCCGUCGCUCACCUGGCUUUGGUCUCCUGACAUGUGGCUGCAUUCGCGUUGUCGUGUUCCUGACAAGUGGAUGGCGCGAGUGCCUCGGACCAAGUGGCCCAGAAGGAGAACUGUGCUCCACGUGGGACAUGUGUGCACUUUACAGUUUGGCUCAAGGUGGGGACUCGCUGUGAACUCCGAUCGAAGGCAGUGCACUGUGGGUACUCGGGUCAUGCGCACGGUCAGCUCCUGCCCUGCACUGGGCGGGGACCCGUUCCAGGUACGGGAUGUUUGUGGACUGCAGGGCCUCUGCUGAGCCGGUGGAGGGGAUGUGUCUGUGGCACUGUGUCUGUGGCUGCCCGAGGACCGUGCCCUGAGGGGCAAUUCCUGGACCCCUCCCGGGGUUGCCCUUGUGAGCAUGGGUGUUCCCUUCUGGGACGCACACCGUACUCCUUUAGGAUGGGCUCCUCUCGUUUACUCUCUGCUUCCCUGGACACGUCUGCCCUCCUCACUCUGGGCUGCACAGGGAACAUCUGAUUCGCCCGCCCAGCUUCUCAGAACUCUCUCAUAUUUGAUAUAAUAACUUCAUGUUGCCUGAGCUGCUCAGUCCUGUGCAGGGUGCUGAAUGGGGUUGGCGUGAUGGGGACUUGCUGUUUUUCCUGAAUUACUUGGCAUCAUUAGAAAUGGCCUGUGUCUUGUGCGUAGAGCAGAGCCCUCAGCCCUUCCCUGCCUCCUGACUCUGUCGACUUGCUCCCAAGCAGUUCAGCAGCCUCUUGCUACCAGGAGUGCCAGGCUCCACAGCGCGAGGGAUGUGCCAGACCCAGUGCUGCCCCCAGGAGCCUGGCAGCUGUGUCCACGCAGGCCCCAAGCUACCCCACGGACUCGGUGAACCCUGAGGGAGCCCUGAGGGAGACGCUGCGUGCACAUGCACAGGAUGGCUACUUCUCUGUUUCAGCCUCACACUCUUCCUCCUGUGCGCUUACUUCCCCAUCUCCAGCCUCCACCAAAGGCUCAGGUCCUAGAGGCAGGAGACAGUAGUGAGCAAACGAGGCCCAGAGAGAACCCUGCCCCUUCUCCCCUGACAUGGCCAACCCGAACAGAGCAAAGAGCCAUUCUUGGAAACACACAGCAGGCGUUUGUCGCCACUGUCCUCAAAAUAUAGGUAAGGAAGCAGACGAUCACAUGGAGAGACCAGUGUUCUCCUGUAUGUGAGGCUGACGGUGCAGGAGACACGCAGGCGAGCGUGGCAGGGUCCAUCAGGUGAAGGUGAGCACAGCAGCCGGCAUGGCUGCGGCUUUCUUGAGUCCCUUGGGGCAGGAAGGGGCAGACGUGGUCUGUGGUGCUCAGUGCUCAGUGCUUGGAACUCAGUGCUCAGUGCUCGGAGCCCAGGUGCACCUGCCCCUCCUCUGCAUCUUCGUGCUGCAUCCUUAGCACCUUCCUAACUGAACACAAAUCCCCAAGCCCCAGACAUUCUCAGCGUCUGGAUGCUUGGCCGCGUGAACGCUGCCACUGUCACCUGCUGAGGCUGGCGCCAGAGAGCCGGCCCAGACGCCCAGACUCCCCCUCAGUUCAGGUCAAAGCCCAUUCUGGCCGCAGAACCCACGCACCCACUCCCCCUGCAUGCCACCCACUGAGCUCCAACUCCUUCAAAUACGUAGCCAGACCAGCUUCUAAGAAUGUGCGGGGUUCCUAAAAUUCCAAGGUACAAUUGCCCUUUCCUUAGACCUUUUCCCUGGUCUCAUUUUCAGCCUUGCACCCUUGCUAACACUCCCCUUACACAGUCAUGGUCCCAGAGUCUGGGGCGGUGUGCCAGGGCAGCUGGGCCUCCAUGCUGGCUUCUGGGGUUUGUUAACGGGGACCAGGAAGAAGCCUGGGGUCAUAGGCGUCCCCUUGAUGCUGAUGACUCUUCAGUCUGGGGCCCCGGGGGUGGGGCGAACCUGUGAGUCGGGGGAGAUGCAGCAAGAGCCAGAUGGAAAUAAAGUCCACGCACGGGGUUUACA